This is a non-coding RNA of Schistosoma haematobium, 45 nucleotides long. The record is from Rfam. NCBI's taxonomy places the organism in Eukaryota, Metazoa, Platyhelminthes, Trematoda, Strigeidida, Schistosomatidae.
ACCCGGCUGACGAGUCCUAAAUAAGAUGAAAUUCGUGUCCUGGGU